AUACUUACCUGGCAGGGGAGAUACUGCGAUGAUGAAGGUGGCUUUCCCAGGGUGAGGCUUAUCUAUUGCACUCCGGAUGUGCUGACUCCUGCGAUUUCCCCCAAAGUGGACAUUUGACUGCAUAAUUUGUAGUAGUGAGGGACUGUGUUCAUGCUUUCCCCUG
Small nuclear RNA from Nycticebus coucang (slow loris), 163 nucleotides. RefSeq annotates it as U1 spliceosomal RNA. The record is from RefSeq and is a predicted model, not a curated record. The transcript has a single exon. NCBI's taxonomy places the organism in Eukaryota, Metazoa, Chordata, Mammalia, Primates, Lorisidae.